GAUGCAGAAACCAUUUGUGCCGCUAACAAGUGAUGGUAUUGAUGAAACAGUGGGGAAGGAGGAGAAGAACCUGAGCAAAGGUGAAAUAGCGGAGUCAAGAGUUGUUGGAAACUUUGAUUUGAACGAGCUCCAGACGCAUGAUGUUGAAACAGGCGUGUCAAGAGUUGUUCGAGACUUUGAUUUGAACGAGCUCCCGACUAAUGAUAUUGAAAAAGAAUGAGUGUAAUUGUGCCACUGCUUG
Molecule: long non-coding RNA, 241 nt
Filed under: Lathyrus oleraceus (garden pea)
Lineage: Eukaryota; Viridiplantae; Streptophyta; Magnoliopsida; Fabales; Fabaceae
Description: Pisum sativum (pea) long non-coding RNA (PSAT_LNC036168)
Source: RNAcentral